GCCAUUCCUUCUCUGUGGCCUGGAGACAGGUUUUUCCAAAACUCCUCCCCUGGCUCAGGCAAACACACCUGACCUUUCUCUCGCUGGGCCCAGGGUGAGGCAGAGCAGCCAGGAACAAGGUGGGGUGAACCAGACAGAGCUGGAGUGCUCUCCCACCCCUGCUCUGCCCAGCCACCCCGCCAAGCCCAUGAUUCCAGGCAGGGUAAGGCCCUCCUCCCAGAGGAAGGGGCCAACAGUCCAGUGACCUUGGCGUGCGCUUCGCCUGGCACUCCCCUCACAUUGCUCCCUACAGCUUGCACUCUGCCUCUGACUCUCUUCCAAGAACAAUUGGACAAGCUCUAAUCUACAUCUUGCAAAAAAAAAAAAAAAAAAAACCCAGGAGAGGUAGGAGGGCCACAGCACCUGGGGUCCCAGAAGGCAGACUGACACCUAUUCCUACUGUGGGGCUACAAACCAGUGCCACAUGCCUGGAGGCUGAGUGGACACUCCUGGUCUUCCUCAAGGAGAUGUGUAGCACUCUGAGCUCUGAUCCAGUUGAUCUGUGUGAAGUCCUCAGACAAACACAUAACCAUUCAACUCCCACAGGAGGCUUCUUGGAGCACGGUCCAGCUAGUUCGUCUUGA
This 623-nucleotide long non-coding RNA is filed under the name Rhinopithecus roxellana (golden snub-nosed monkey). Its description in RNAcentral is "lncRNA (ENSRROG00000045965.1)". The record is from RNAcentral. Lineage: Eukaryota; Metazoa; Chordata; Mammalia; Primates; Cercopithecidae.